AGAGUUUGAUCCUGGCUCAGGAUGAACGCUGGCGGCGUGCCUAAUACAUGCAAGUCGAGCGGUAAGGCCCCUUCGGGGGUACACGAGCGGCGGACGGCUGAGUAACACGUAGGAACGUACCCCAAAGUGAGGGAUAAGCACCAGAAAUGGUGUCUAAUACCGCAUGUGGCCUUCGGGCUAAAGCUUUAUGCGCUUUGGGAGCGGCCUGCGCAUGAUUAGCUUGUUGGUGAGGUAAUAGCUCACCAAGGCGACGAUCAUUAGCUGGUCUGAGAGGAUGAUCAGCCAGACUGGGACUGAGACACGGCCCAGACUCCUACGGGAGGCAGCAGUAGGGAAUUUUCCACAAUGGGCGAAAGCCUGAUGGAGCAACGCCGCGUGCAGGAUGAAGGCCCUUGGGUCGUAAACUGCUUUUAUAUGUGACGAUUAUGACGGUAGCAUAUGAAUAAGGGUCGGCUAACUCCGUGCCAGCAGCCGCGGUCAUACGGAGGAUCCAAGCGUUAUCCGGAAUUACUGGGCGUAAAGAGUUGCGUAGGUGGCAUUGUAAGCAAGUAGUGAAAGCGUUCGGCUCAACCGAAUAAACAUUACUUGAACUGCAAAGCUAGAGGAUGAGAGAGGUUAUUGGAAUUCCCUGUGUAGGAGUGAAAUCCGUAGAUAUAAGGGAGGAAACACCGAUGGCGUAGCAGAUAACUGGCUCAUUCCUGACACUAAAGCACGAAAGCGUGGGUAGCAAACGGGAUUAGAUACCCCGGUAGUCCACGCCGUAAACUAUGGGA
This 773-nucleotide ribosomal RNA is filed under the name uncultured bacterium. RNAcentral's name for it is "bacterial SSU rRNA". It matches the Rfam family "Bacterial small subunit ribosomal RNA", at positions 8 to 814 of the family's 1533-position model. The record is from RNAcentral.